AUUGAACGCUGGCGGCAUGCUUUACACAUGCAAGUCGAACGGUAACAGGCCUUCUGGUGCUGACGAGUGGCGAACGGGUGCGUAAUGCAUCGGAACGUACCCAGAGGUGGGGGAUAACGCAGCGAAAGCUGUGCUAAUACCGCAUGUGAUCUGAGGAUGAAAGCGGGGGACCGAGCAGCAAUGUUUGGCCUCGCGCCUUUGGAGCGGCCGAUGUCGGAUUAGCUAGUUGGUGGGGUAAAGGCCUACCAAGGCGACGAUCCGUAGCUGGUCUGAGAGGACGACCAGCCACACUGGGACUGAGACACGGCCCAGACUCCUACGGGAGGCAGCAGUGGGGAAUUUUGGACAAUGGGCGCAAGCCUGAUCCAGCAAUGCCGCGUGCGGGAAGAAGGCCUUCGGGUUGUAAACCGCUUUUGGCAGGAACGAAACGGUGUCCGCUAAUACCGGGCGCUAAUGACGGUACCUGCAGAAUAAGCACCGGCUAACUACGUG
This 492-nucleotide ribosomal RNA is filed under the name uncultured bacterium. Its description in RNAcentral is "partial 16S ribosomal RNA". It matches the Rfam family "Bacterial small subunit ribosomal RNA", at positions 30 to 507 of the family's 1533-position model. The record is from RNAcentral.